GUUGAUUGUGUUCCGUUUGUUUGUUUGUCUUGUUUGGGUAGAGCCGGGAGAUGAGUUUGCUAACGAGGAGCCCAUUGAGUUUGCUUUCGAGGAUCCAGUCAACUCUGACAACUUUGCAGGCAAGAUGAUCAUACCCUCGAAAUCACUACUAUCUUUGCUAUGUUAGAUGCUCGCUCUUUUGCUAUGCCUAUACUACGAUGCCUACCAUUUGCUUAUCAUGCCUCCCAAAUUGCCAUGUCAAACCUCUAACCCACCAUGUCCUAGCAAACCGUUGAUUGGCUAUGUUACCGCUUUGCUCAGCCCCUCUUAUAGCAUUGCUAGUUGCAGGUGAAGAUUGAAGACCGUUCCUUGUUGGAACAUUAUUUACUUGUUGGGAUAUUAUUAUAUUGCCAUGUUAUCUUAAUGCAUCUAUAUACUUGGUAAAGGGUGGAAGUCUCGGCCUCUCGCCUAGUGUUUUGUUCCACUCUUGCCGCCCUAGUUUCCGUCAUAUCGGUGUAAUGUUCUCGGAUUUUGCGUUCCUUACGCGGUUGGGUUAUAAUGGGAACCCCUUGAUAGUUCGCCUUGAUUAAAGCUUUUCCAGCAAUGCCCAACCUUGGUUUUACCAUUUGCCACCUAGCCUCUUUUUCCCUUGGGUUUUCGGAGCCCGAGGGUCAUCUUAUUUAAACCCCCCGGGCCAGUGCUCCUCUGAGUGUUGGUCCAACCUAGAGCCCCUUGCAGCGCCACCUGGGGGAAACUCGAGGGCUGGUUUUAGUUGUACGGAUUGCUUAUCCGAUUAUGCCUUGAGAACGAGAUAUGUGCAGCUCCUAUCGGGAUUUGUCGGCACAUUCGGGCGGUGUUGCUGGAUUUGUUUUAACCUGUCGAAGUGUCUUGAAGAACCGAGGUACCGAGUCUGAUCGGAACGUCUCGGGAGGAGGUCUAUUCCUUCAUUGACCGUGAGAGCUUGUCAUGGGCUAGGUUGGGACUCCCAUGCAGGGAUUUGAACUUUCGAAAGCCAUGCCCGCAGUUAUGGGCAGAUGGGAAUUUGUUAAUGUCCGAUUGUAGAUAACUUGAACCUUAACUUAAUUAAAAUGAAUCAACAGUGUGAGUUACCGUGAUGGUCUCUUCUCGGCGGAGUCCGGGAAAUGAACACGGUGUUGGAGUAAUGCUUGCCGCAGGUUGCCCUCUAGUUAUUCGUUCGUGCUUUGCCUCCUCUUCCCGCUCUCUUGUGCGAUCAGGAUAGCCACUAUAUAUGCUAGUCGCUUGCUGCAGCUCCACAUAUUUACCUUGCCUUACCUAUAAGCUUAAAUAGUUUUGAUCGCGAGGGUGCGAGAUUGCUGAGUCCCUAUGGCUCACAGAUUACUAUUAUACCAGAUGCAGGGCCUGAUGAUUCCGCUCCAGGUGACGCGCUUGAGCUCAAGUGGGAGUUCGACGAGGACUCUCAACGAUAUUAUGUUUCCUUUCCUGAUGAUCAGUAGUGGUGCCCAGUUGGGGUGAUCGGGACCGUGUCGCAUGUUGGGUUAUCUUUUAUUUUGGCGCCGUAGUCGGGCCAUGAGUGUUUGAAUGUUGUAAUGCUAUUUAUGUACCUUGAUUGAUGUGGCGAGUGUAAGCCAACUAUGUUAUCUCCCCUUUUAUUAUCUAUAUUACAUGGGAUGUUG
RNAcentral lists this long non-coding RNA (1634 nucleotides) under Triticum aestivum (bread wheat). RNAcentral's name for it is "long non-coding RNA (TAES_LNC025643)". Lineage: Eukaryota; Viridiplantae; Streptophyta; Magnoliopsida; Poales; Poaceae. The record is from RNAcentral.